AUGCAAGUCGAACGAUGAUCCCAGCUUGCUGGGGGAUUAGUGGCGAACGGGUGAGUAACACGUGAGUAACCUGCCCUUGACUCUGGGAUAAGCCUGGGAAACUGGGUCUAAUACCGGAUAUGACCGUCUGACGCAUGUCAGGUGGUGGAAAGCUUUUGUGGUUUUGGAUGGACUCGCGGCCUAUCAGCUUGUUGGUGGGGUAAUGGCCUACCAAGGCGACGACGGGUAGCCGGCCUGAGAGGGUGACCGGCCACACUGGGACUGAGACACGGCCCAGACUCCUACGGGAGGCAGCAGUGGGGAAUAUUGCACAAUGGGCGCAAGCCUGAUGCAGCGACGCCGCGUGAGGGAUGACGGCCUUCGGGUUGUAAACCUCUUUCAGUAGGGAAGAAGCGAAAGUGACGGUACCUGCAGAAGAAGCGCCGGCUAACUACGUGCCAGCAGCCGCGGUAAUACGUAGGGCGCAAGCGUUAUCCGGAAUUAUUGGGCGUAAAGAGCUCGUAGGCGGUUUGUCGCGUCUGCUGUGAAAGACCGGGGCUCAACUCCGGUUCUGCAGUGGGUACGGGCAGACUAGAGUGCAGUAGGGGAGACUGGAAUUCCUGGUGUAGCGGUGAAAUGCGCAGAUAUCAGGAGGAACACCGAUGGCGAAGGCAGGUCUCUGGGCUGUAACUGACGCUGAGGAGCGAAAGCAUGGGGAGCGAACAGGAUUAGAUACCCUGGUAGUCCAUGCCGUAAACGUUGGGCACUAGGUGUGGGGGACAUUCCACGUUUUCCGCGCCGUAGCUAACGCAUUAAGUGCCCCGCCUGGGGAGUACGGCCGCAAGGCUAAAACUCAAAGGAAUUGACGGGGGCCCGCACAAGCGGCGGAGCAUGCGGAUUAAUUCGAUGCAACGCGAAGAACCUUACCAAGGCUUGACAUGAACCGGUAAUACCUGGAAACAGGUGCCCCGCUUGCGGUCGGUUUAC
RNAcentral lists this ribosomal RNA (966 nucleotides) under Paenarthrobacter nitroguajacolicus. Its description in RNAcentral is "bacterial SSU rRNA". It matches the Rfam family "Bacterial small subunit ribosomal RNA", at positions 55 to 1035 of the family's 1533-position model. Lineage: Bacteria; Bacillati; Actinomycetota; Actinomycetes; Micrococcales; Micrococcaceae. The record is from RNAcentral.